This 253-nucleotide ribosomal RNA is filed under the name uncultured bacterium. RNAcentral's name for it is "partial 16S ribosomal RNA". It matches the Rfam family "Bacterial small subunit ribosomal RNA", at positions 524 to 776 of the family's 1533-position model. The record is from RNAcentral.
UACGGAGGGUGCGAGCGUUGUCCGGAAUCACUGGGCGUAAAGGGCGCGUAGGCGGCUUCUUAAGCGGGUGGUGAAAGCUCGGGGCUCAACCUCGAGUCGGCCAUGCGAACUGGGAAGCUCGAGCACUGUAGAGGCAGGCGGAAUUCCGGGUGUAGCGGUGGAAUGCGUAGAGAUCCGGAAGAACACCGGUGGCGAAGGCGGCCUGCUGGGCAGUAGCUGACGCUGAGGCGCGGCAGCGUGGGGAGCAAACAGG